RNA transcript from Vitis riparia (riverbank grape), 4771 nucleotides. It is a transcript of the gene named symplekin, with no coding region annotated. The transcript is spliced from 28 exons. NCBI's taxonomy places the organism in Eukaryota, Viridiplantae, Streptophyta, Magnoliopsida, Vitales, Vitaceae. The record is from RefSeq and is a predicted model, not a curated record.
CACACCAAAUAAUCGAAUCAAGCCCGCUGUUUUGUUUGUGAAAGUAGCCAUUUAAACCUUGGCAACACCCCUGAUUUCAAAACCCUAGAAAUUCAAAAUUGGAUUCUAGGGCAAGAUAUGGCCGGAGCUUCCCGAGACCAAGCACUGGCUCUCCUCGCCGCUGCCAACAACCAUGGAGAUUUGGCCGUAAAGCUCUCUUCUCUUAGACAGGCCAAAGAUAUCUUACUAGCCGUCCACCCCUCAUUUGCAGCCGAGCUUUUUCCCUACUUAGUCGAGCUUCAGUCUUCUCCCGAAACCCUAGUUCGAAAAUCUCUCAUAGAGGCAAUAGAAGAGAUUGGUUUGAAAGCAAUGGAGCAUUCUUCUAUAUUAGUAUCAGUCUUAUUAGUAUUUUUGAGAGAUGGCGAUUCUAUUAUUGCAAAGCAAUCUAUUGUUAGUGGGACAAAUUUCUUUUGCAGUGUUCUAGAGGAGUUGGCCCUGCAGUUCCAUCGGCAUGGUAAAGUUGAGAGGUGGCUUGAAGAGCUUUGGGUGUGGAUGGUUAAGUUGAAGGAUGCGGUCCUUGCCAUUGCGUUGGGGCCUGGUCCUUUUGGGGUGAAGAUACUGGCGAUGAAGUUUUUGGAAACAUAUGUGCUACAUUUUACAUCUGAUGCUAAUGAUUUUGAAAAAUCUUCUAUAGAAGGAAGUGGACGGGCUUUUAAUAUUUCUUGGGUGGUUGGUGGUCACCCAGUUCUAGAUCCAGCUUCACUCAUGUCAGAUGCAAAUAGGAUUAUUGGAGUUCUACUAACGUUGUUGCAAUCGGCUAGUAGUCUUUCUGGCUGUUUGACAAUUACUGUUGUCAAUUGUCUUGCGGCCAUAGCAAGGAAGAGGCCUCACCACUACAACACGGUUCUUUCUGCAUUGCUUGAUUUUGAUUCAAGCAUUGAGAUGGUGAAAGGUCAUUCUGCUAGCGUCCAGUAUUCCCUGAGGACUGCCUUUUUAGGAUUCCUAAGGUGUACUUGUCCAACUAUAAUGGAGUCAAGAGAUAGAUUGCUUAGAGCACUACGUUCAAUGAAUGCUGGGGAUGCAGCUGAUCAAGUUAUUCGGCAAGUUGAUAAAAUGAUGAAGAAUAAUGAGCGUGCUUCACGUGAUGCUCGGUUGGGCAGGGAUGAUCCGCCAUCAAGUCAGCUGUCUGUUCCUGGAGAUCUGUUUAGGAAGAGGUCUAUGCAUCAGGAUAAUGAAGAGCCAACUAAUGGUCAUGGGAUGACUUCCAAACGAAUUCGUUAUGGUCACAACAUGCACUCAGCUUCACAUGUUCAAAUGAGUGAUUCUGGGCAGGACUGUGCUUCUGCUAAUGGUGUCUCUCCGAAGGUGCCUCUGUUGGAUAAUGAUUUGACUCCUGUUGAACAAAUGAUUGCCAUGAUUUGUGCUCUAGUUGCAGAAGGAGAAAGAGGUGCUGAAUCACUUGAAAUCCUUAUAUCCCAAAUCCACCCUGAUCUGUUGGCAGAUAUUAUCGUAACAAAUAUGAAGCAGUUCUCUAAGGUCCUGUCAUCACCAAUAGGAUUUGGGAACUUGCCAGUGUCUGGACAAACUGGUUCUUCAAGCAGUCCAGCUCCUGCUGCUCCAACAAUUACAAUGCAGUCUUCAGUUCUCCCAGCACAAGUGCCUUUUUCUACAGCAGCUGCAACAAGCAUGGCACAUUCUGACAUGUCUACUGUCAUUAAUCUCCCUCCAGAUUCUAAGCGCGAUCCACGGAGGAAAAAUUUUCAGGAUCCUCGUCGGCUGGAUCCACGGCGUGUUGGAGUGCCGGUUGGACUACAAUCUGUACAUAUGGUGGAGGAUACUGGAACUAUUCAAGCUGAGUUUGAUGGUUCUAUUUCUUUGAGCAAGCCGCCUUCACUUCCUCUUGUCACAAGUGUAGAAAAUACUUCCACAUCUUUGGUGUCCAAAACUGAAGGUGAUGAUAAAAUUUUAAAAAAUGCAUUGAUUUCUGAAACUGAUCAACCAAUUUCCAGAGAGGAGCUUCUGGAUGGAGCCAAGGAAGUUGACCAUAUUCCAGAGAUUGGUGCUACUUCAGAUGCUGCCCUUUCUCCUGCUCGCACAAUUGAUGAAGACUCGGCUGCACCAGAGUCAUUGGAUAUUGCAGUGGCAGAUGGAGCUGAUACAUCGCCUUUGAUAGAAACUGAUCAACAUUCUCCAGCACGGUCAAAUACUUAUGUGUCUGAAGAGACCAGCAUUGAUUUACCUUUGCCUCCACCAUAUGUUGAGCUGACUGAAGAUCAGAAAAUUAGAUUGAAAAAGUUGGCACUUGAACGGAUUAUCAAUUCGUACGUGUAUUCACGGGAAACAGAUUGUAGCCAUACACGCAUGGCAUUACUUGCUCGAUUGGUUGCUCAGAUUGAUGGUGAUGAGGAUGUGGUUGUGAUGCUGCAAAAACAUGUUCUUUUGGAUUACCAGGGCCAAAAGGGGCAUGAACUUGUACUGCACAUCCUGUACCACCUGCAUGCGCUCAUGAUCUCAGAUUCAGUUGAACACUCUUCAUUUGCUGCUGUUGUAUAUGAAAAAUUUCUUCUUGCAGUGGUAAAAUCUCUGCUGGAAAAAUUACCUGCUUCAGACAAGUCUUUUAGUAAACUGCUCGGUGAAGUUCCUCUUUUGCCCGAUUCUGCCCUGAAAUUGUUAGAUGAUCUCUGCUCUUCUGAUGUUACUGAUCAGCAUGGAAAAGUUCUUCGCGACAGGGAGCGUGUCACUCAGGGCCUUGGUGCAGUAUGGAGUUUGAUUUUGGGCCGCCCACUUAAUAGGCAAGCUUGCUUGAAUAUUGCUUUGAAGUGUGCUGUUCAUUCACAAGAUGACAUUCGAACAAAAGCCAUCCGACUGGUGGCAAACAAACUUUAUCUUCUUAGCUAUAUAUCAGAAAAUAUUCAGCAAUAUGCAACAGAUAUGUUGUUGUCAGCUGUUAAUCAGCAUAUUUCAGAUCCAGAGCUCUCACAAUCUGGUUCCAGUGAUCAAAGAUUAGAAGCGGAGACUGGAAGCCUGGAGACAUCAGUUAGUGGUUCUCAAAUUUCUGAGCCUGGAACAUCUGAAAAUGACCCCAUGAAGGGUUCACAAUCUGUUCAGAACAUCUCGACAGUGGAAUUUCAUCAAGCUCAACGCCUUAUUUCUUUGUUUUUUGCUUUAUGUACAAAGAAACCUAAUCUUCUUCAACUUGUAUUCAAUAUUUAUGGGCGUGCUCCUAAGGCUGUUAAGCAGGCAAUCCAUCGUCAUAUCCCAAUUAUUAUAGGGGCUCUAGGGCCAUUAUAUCCCGAAUUGCUCAGUAUAAUAUCAGAUCCACCAGAAGGAAGUGAAAAUCUGCUGACACAGGUGCUGAAAAUAUUAACUGAAGAGAAGACGCCAACCCCACACCUGAUUGCAAUUGUUAAGCAUUUGUAUGAAACUAAAUUAAAGGACGCCACAAUUCUUAUCCCAAUGCUGUCCUUGCUGUCAAGAAAUGAGGUUUUACCUAUUUUUCCUCGGCUCAUUGACCUUCCAUUGGACAAAUUUCAGGAUGCACUUGCCAAUAUACUACAGGGUUCAGCUCAUACAGGUCCAGCAUUGACACCUGCAGAAGUGUUGGUUGCUAUCCAUGACAUUAGUCCUGAGAAAGAUGGCAUUGCACUCAAAAAGAUAACAGAAGCUUGCUCUGCUUGUUUUGAGCAACGUACGGUUUUCACACCACAGGUUUUGGCAAAGGCCUUGAACCAGAUGGUUGAUCAUACUCCGUUGCCUCUACUCUUCAUGAGAACAGUAAUUCAGGCAAUUGAUGCUUAUCCUACCCUGGUUGAUUUUGUAAUGGAGAUACUCUCCAAGCUUGUGAGUAAACAGGUGUGGAGAAUGCCAAAGUUGUGGGUCGGGUUCUUGAAAUGUGUGUCUCAGACACAGCCACAUUCUUUCCGUGUACUGUUACAGCUACCAGCUCCACAGCUUGAAAGUGCUCUGAACAAACAUGCUAACCUCAGAGGUCCUCUUUCUGCUUAUGCUAGCCAACCAAGUAUAAAAUCAUCAUUGCCUAGAUCAAUUCUCAUAGUUCUUGGUCUGGUAAAUGAACCCCACAUGCAGCAAUCACACCCUCCAUCGUCUCUGCAUUCAUCAGACACAAGUUCUUCUGUUCAUGGAGCAACUCUAACUUGAUAACUGGGCCUUUUGAGUUCAGAAAUUGACUGAUAACACCGUAGUGACUGUCAAAAAGACCAAAGUUCAAGCUGUUGAAAAAGAAAGUUCAAAGACUGCUCACACAGCGCCUAGUCACUCAAGCAGAUUAUUUGUCCACUCACCAGUGGAACCUGGAUGAGUUUUUGUGGAAUGUAUAUAAGCUUGAGGCCUUGUUCAGGUGAAAGGGUGUAUUCUGUUGGGUGGUUAGCGUAAAAAAAGAAACAUAGUUGAAGUCAUUGACCGUUCUCUUGACUCAGUUGGACGUUGAUCCCAAAUGAAAAAUGAUUAUAGAGCCUGUGUUGAUACCAAGAUGUCUUUGCAUUGGGGCUGUGUUGAAUUGUGCCCCCUUCCCUAGUUGUAAAGAGGCUGAAUUGUUCCCAAUUUUCCUUCGGCCACCUAAAUGCAAGAUUUGACAUGUAGCUGUUCAUUGUUAUUUAUGUUUUUUUUUCUUCUUUUUUUCUUUUUUUCUUUUACCUUUUAAUAGAACAAUGGGUUUCCUCCAGUUGGAGGGAGAACGAGAAUGUCGGUGGGAUUGUGGAAUGAAAAUGCAUCCAUGGAAAGGAUUACUACAUGAACAGUGGAUUGAAAAUGAAAUACAUACAUUAACAUGUGA